ACCGUCCUUAUCCUUUCCUUGUCAAUACUAUUUUUUGAGCCGUCCUUGUCAUACUUGAGGUGAUGUUUUUUUCUUCUGUUCAGUGUGUAUAACGGCCUAAGCCCAUCACCACGCGCUAACGCUCUCCAGCAGUUGCCCUAUUUCCUCCCCGAUCUCUUCGCCGGUCGCCGGAGGACGCCUUCCCGCCGCCGCCGUCGCCGAAGCGUUACAGAUAGAUAAGAACAAGAUGGUGAUUAAUGGUGAUGCACCUGCAAGAGGGAGUGCAGCAGCUGCUGCAAGCUUGCGCAGACGUAGAACCACCAGCGGUGCUGCUGCUGGAGGUGGCGGUGGCGCCAGUACAAUGCUUCAGUUCUACACCGAUGAGGCUGCUGGGCGCAAGAUGUCCCCAAAUGCUGUUCUGAUCAUGAGCAUAGGGUUUGUUGCUGUCGUUGCUGUGCUCCAUGUUUUUGGCAAGCUCUACCGUUAGGUUCCAUAUGCAAGCUGCACCUAUGAACAGAG
Triticum aestivum (bread wheat) is the source of this 498-nucleotide RNA transcript. It is a transcript of the gene named protein transport protein Sec61 subunit beta, with no coding region annotated. The transcript is spliced from 2 exons. NCBI's taxonomy places the organism in Eukaryota, Viridiplantae, Streptophyta, Magnoliopsida, Poales, Poaceae. The record is from RefSeq and is a predicted model, not a curated record.